UAUAUAUAUAUAUAUAUAUAUAUAUAUAUAUAGUUUGAUUUAGUUUGUAUAUAUAUGUAAUACGUACGCUAAUUAGAUUUAUAUAUAUAUAUAUAUAUAGUAUGCUAAGAAUUGUAUAGUAUUUGUAUAAAUACUUGUUUGAUUCAUUUAAAUAAUUGUUUGAUUCGUUUAAAUAGUAGUUUGAUUGAUUUCAUUAUAAAAAAAGUUCUCAACUACUAAAGGUUAACUAAAGGGGUACGUGAGAUAUGCACGAAAUUAUAGGCGCCAUGCAGGCGCCUGCAUGGUGCUGUACACACGCACUUUAGUCCUGGUUUGUUUUACAAACCGUGACUAAAGAGGCGACCUUUAGUCCCGGUUUGUAACACCAAUUGGGACUAAAGGGGUCUGUCCACCGCCUGGCGUGGCAGCCCCAUUAGUCCCGGUUGGUUUUACAAACCGGGACUAAAGGAGGAUUUUAUAUCCCGGUUGAGGGACCCGUGAUAAAAGAUCCCCCAUUUUAUCUCGACGGAUUAAUCUCGGAUGCAUUUUCGGGAGAUAUGCAGUCUACGAACCGGUACUAAUACCGAGUUCUCUAUUAGUGUAAGCCAGGGCCAACCAUCUCCAUCUCUUCUAUAUCAUCAUCCACUUCUCCUUCAUCGCCCUCUGAACCUCUGAUCUCUAUCCAUGGUUGAACUAUGAAUCCAUAACCAACUAGGCCCCUUUCCUUCAUACAUCAAAC
Molecule: long non-coding RNA, 718 nt
Filed under: Setaria viridis
Lineage: Eukaryota; Viridiplantae; Streptophyta; Magnoliopsida; Poales; Poaceae
Description: long non-coding RNA (SVIR_LNC009572)
Source: RNAcentral